Molecule: ribosomal RNA, 270 nt
Filed under: uncultured bacterium
Lineage: Bacteria
Description: partial 16S ribosomal RNA
Rfam family: Bacterial small subunit ribosomal RNA
Source: RNAcentral
CCGGCGACCGGCGCACGGGUGAGUAACACGUAUGCGACCUGCCCCCCGCAGGGGGAUAACCGGGAGAAAUCCCGACUAAUACCGCGUAACGCCGCGGACCUGCAUGGGUCUGCGGCCAAAGGAAGCGAUUCCGGCGGGGGAUGGGCAUGCGGCGCAUUAGCUAGUCGGCGGGGUAACGGCCCACCGAGGCGACGAUGCGUAGGGGUUCUGAGAGGAAGGUCCCCCACACUGGUACUGAGACACGGACCAGACUCCUACGGAAGGCAGCAG